RNAcentral lists this transfer RNA (76 nucleotides) under Candidatus Woesearchaeota archaeon. RNAcentral's name for it is "tRNA-Val". It matches the Rfam family "tRNA". From Rfam's summary of the family: Transfer RNA (tRNA) molecules are approximately 80 nucleotides in length. Their secondary structure includes four short double-helical elements and three loops (D, anti-codon, and T loops). Further hydrogen bonds mediate the characteristic L-shaped molecular structure. tRNAs have two regions of fundamental functional importance: the anti-codon, which is responsible for specific mRNA codon recognition, and the 3' end, to which the tRNAs corresponding amino acid is attached (by aminoacyl-tRNA synthetases). tRNAs cope with the degeneracy of the genetic code in two manners: having more than one tRNA (with a specific anti-codon) for a particular amino acid; and 'wobble' base-pairing, i.e. permitting non-standard base-pairing at the 3rd anti-codon position. RNAcentral also lists the same sequence under 1 other name. The record is from RNAcentral. Lineage: Archaea; Nanobdellati; Candidatus Woesearchaeota.
GGGCCCAUGGUCUAGUGGCUAUGACACCGCCUUUACACGGCGUUGAUCCCCGGUUCAAGUCCGGGUGGGCCCACCA